RNAcentral lists this ribosomal RNA (462 nucleotides) under uncultured bacterium. RNAcentral describes it as "partial 16S ribosomal RNA". It matches the Rfam family "Bacterial small subunit ribosomal RNA", at positions 28 to 507 of the family's 1533-position model. The record is from RNAcentral.
GACGAACGCUGGCGGCGUGCUUAACACAUGCAAGUCGAGCGGAAAGGCCCUUCGGGGUACUCGAGCGGCGAACGGGUGAGUAACACGUGAGUAACCUGCCCCAGACUUUGGGAUAACCCUCGGAAACGGGGGCUAAUACCGGAUACGACACAGCUUCGCAUGGGGUCUGUGUGGAAAGUUUUUCGGUUUGGGAUGGGCUCGCGGCCUGUCAGCUUGUUGGUGGGGUGAUGGCCUACCAAGGCGACGACGGGUAGCCGGCCUGAGAGGGCGACCGGCCACACUGGGACUGAGACACGGCCCAGACUCCUACGGGAGGCAGCAGUGGGGAAUAUUGCACAAUGGGCGGAAGCCUGAUGCAGCGACGCCGCGUGAGGGAUGACGGCCUUCGGGUUGUAAACCUCUUUCAGCAGGGACGAAGCGUAAGUGACGGUACCUGCAGAAGAAGCGCCGGCCAACUACGUG